The sequence is a regulatory RNA element, 124 nucleotides long. It matches the Rfam family "PyrR binding site". From Rfam's summary of the family: This family represents the PyrR binding site and terminator structure. The record is from Rfam.
GAAACCUUUAAUUUCAGUCCCGUGAGGCUGAGAAGGCACGGUGAAUUAAUCCAUUAGAUUAGAACUCUAGGACUAGUCUCAAACUGUAACCUCUCAACCAAUAUCGGUUGAGAGGUUUUUUGUU